Molecule: ribosomal RNA, 270 nt
Filed under: uncultured archaeon
Lineage: Archaea
Description: partial 16S ribosomal RNA
Rfam family: Archaeal small subunit ribosomal RNA
Source: RNAcentral
CAGCACCUCAAGUGGUCAGGAUGAUUAUUGGGCCUAAAGCAUCCGUAGCCGGCGCUGUAAGUUUUCGGUUAAAUCUGUACGCUCAACGUACAGGCUGCCGGGAAUACUGCAGCGCUAGGGAGUGGGAGAGGUAGACGGUACUCGGUAGGAAGGGGUAAAAUCCUUUGAUCUAUUGAUGACCACCUGUGGCGAAGGCGGUCUACCAGAACACGUCCGACGGUGAGGGAUGAAAGCUAGGGGAUCAAAGCGGAUUAGAGACCCGUGUAGUCC